Molecule: long non-coding RNA, 389 nt
Filed under: Daucus carota (carrot)
Lineage: Eukaryota; Viridiplantae; Streptophyta; Magnoliopsida; Apiales; Apiaceae
Description: long non-coding RNA (DCAR_LNC003570)
Source: RNAcentral
AUAAAAGAUAGGUCACUUCCUGAUAUGGCUUUGUGUGCAAGCUUGACAUAUGGCAUUUGAGUAGAGACUUGGUAUAGCUUGCAGAGACGCAUUUGGCUUGGCUUGGCUUUGGAACAAAUGACUUGUUAUGACUGGAUCAAUUCUUCGAUCGAUAAAUACUUUGCAAAGCUCCGUACGUGCUGACGCUUAGUGCACUGGUCUGGUUCACAAGCGACUAACACUGAAGUUAAACAUUGUACCGUCUUUGUCAGCAAACAUUGAUCAGUCGGUUCCGGGUUAGUUUAUGCUUCAGUUUGUUGAUUAUAAAUAACCAACCAAGAUAUAUAGAAAUAUCUUGCUUCAGGGGUUGCACUGAAAUCUUUCGAGUACUUGGACAACAUCUUCAUUGC